CUACGGGAUGCACCAGUGAGGAAUUUUGCGCAAUGGGGGAAACCCUGACGCAGCAACGCCGCGUGAGCGAAGAAGGCCCUCGGGUCGUAAAGCUCUGUCAAGUGGGAAAAAAAUUUUUUGAUCAAUAGUCAAAAGACUUGAUGGUACCACUGGAGGAAGCACCGGCGAACUCCGUGCCAGCAGCCGCGGUAAUACGGAGGGUGCGAGCGUUGUUCGGAUUUACUGGGCGUAAAGCGCGUGUAGGCGGUUUAGCAAGUCAGAUGUGAAAGCCCUGGGCUCAACCCGGGAAGUGCAUUUGAAACUGCUUAACUAGAGUAUGGGAGAGGAGAUUGGAAUUCCUGGUGUAGAGGUGAAAUUCGUAGAUAUCAGGAGGAACACCCGUGGCGAAGGCGAUUCUCUGGACCAAUACUGACGCUGAGACGCGAAAGCGUGGGGAGCAAACAGGAUUAGAUACCCCAGUAGUC
RNAcentral lists this ribosomal RNA (464 nucleotides) under uncultured bacterium. RNAcentral describes it as "partial 16S ribosomal RNA". It matches the Rfam family "Bacterial small subunit ribosomal RNA", at positions 339 to 795 of the family's 1533-position model. The record is from RNAcentral.